Non-coding RNA from Xenopus laevis (African clawed frog), 120 nucleotides. The record is from Rfam. NCBI's taxonomy places the organism in Eukaryota, Metazoa, Chordata, Amphibia, Anura, Pipidae.
GCCUAUGGCCACACUACCCUGAAAGCGCCUGCUCUCGUCUGAUAUCUGAAGCGAUACAGGGUCGGGCCUGGGUAGUACCUGGAUAUGAGACAGCCUGAGAAGUUUUCAAUGCUUCAUUUU